GCCAUUGGAGCUGACCCAUUCUGAUAUAUGUGGUCCAAUAAACCCAAUGUCAAAUGGAAAAAAGAAAUACUUUAUUUCUUUUAUUGAUGAUUAUUGUAAAAAACAUGGAUUUACUUUUUGCAGGAAAAAUCUGAAGCUUUCACAGCUUUUAAAAACUUCAAAGCCCAGGUAGAGAAUAAAGUUGGAAGAACUAUUAAAACUCUCCGAACUGAUCGUGGGGAAGAAUACAUGUUACAAGAAUUUGUAAUUUUUUGUGAUGAGCAUGGAAUUCAAAGGCAAUUGAUAGCAGCUUGCACGCCUCAACAAAAUGGGGUAGCAGAGAGAAAGAACCAAACUAUUCUAAACAUGGUGAGAAGCAUGGCAGCAAACGAGAGGAUUCCAUAGAGUUUUUGGCCAGAAGCAGUAAGUUCGAGUGCUCAUGUUUUGAAUCGGAGUCCUACCUUUUCUAUUGAAAACAUGACUUCAGAAGAAGCUUGGAGUGGGCGAAAACCAUCUGUUGAUCAUUUCAAGGUUUUCGGGUGCAUUGCAUAUGCACAUGUUCCGGACAAAAAGAUGAAGAAGUUAGCUGAUAAAGGCGAAAAGUGUGUCUUCCUUAGCAUUAGUAAACAGUCAAAAGCCUACAAAUUGUUCAAUCCAAUCACAGGGGAGAUUAUCAUCAGUCGUGAUGUUGUGUUUGAUGAAGAAAAUACAUGGAAUUGGAUUGAAGAAGAUGCAGGGCAGCACCAAAUACCUGUGAAUUUUGAAGAGAAAGAAGCAGAAAUACCGGGGCAAUCUACCUUCCUAAUAUUCCUUCAUUGACACGACAAGACCAGCACCUACUCCAACCAAAUCAGCACUUGCAGCAGUCGGAUCAGCACCUAUAGUAGCCAAUUGAUGUCAACAAAACUCAGGCAACAAGUGAAAGCUCUUGAUCUCAACGAAUAAAAAAGAGGCCUGCUUGGAUGGUGGAUUUUGAGGUUAGUGGUAAUCAAUCUGAUGAUAUUUUUGCUCAUUAUGCUUUAUUAUCAAAUUGUGAUCCUAUAACAUUCUAAGAAGCUGUUAAAGAUUCGAAAUGGCAAAAGAUUAUGAAUGAGGAGAUCAAGUCUAUAGAGAAAAACAACACAUGGGAAAUAUCAGAACUUCUGGAAGGACAAAAGUCUAUUGGUGUUAAAUGGUGUACAAAACUAAGUUGAACAAAGAUGGCAAAGUUGACAAGUAUAAAGCAUGGCUUGUUGCAAAGGGAUAUAAGCAAGAAUUUGGCUUUGAUUACAAGAAGGUUUUUGCUCCAGUUACAAGGCAUGAUAUAAUUCGAAUGAUGGUAGCACUAGGAGCACAAAAUUCUUGGCUAGUGUUUCGGUUGGAUGUAAAAUCAGCCUUUUUACAUGGAAAUCUAGAUGAGAAGGUUUAUAGAUUAGCCCCCUAGUUAUCUGCAACGAGGAAAUGAAGAUAAAGUGUAUAGGUUGAAAAAAGCUUUAUACGGGUUGAAACAAGCACCUAGAGGUUGGUAUAGCCGUAUAAAGACUUAUCUUACUAAGGCUGGGUUCGAAAAAUGUCCAUACGAGCUACUCUCUUUAUUAUAUUGGGAUCUGCAGGAAAAUGUCUUAUUAUUUGUUUGUAUGUAGAUGAUUUGAUCUACACAGGAAAUGAUCAAGUAAUGUUCGAAGAUUUUAAAAGAUCCAUGAUGACGGAGUUUGAGAUGACCGAUCUAGGAAUGAUGCACUAUUUUCUUGGUAUCAAAGUGGUGCAAUCUACAACUGGAAUUUUCAUUACUCAAAAGAAAUAUGCUUCAGAGAUCUUGGAUAGGCUUCAAAUGAUGGAUUACAACUCGGUUGGAACACCAAUUGAACUUGGUUUGAAGCUCACAAAGGACAUUGAAGAAAAGAAGGUCAAUAGUAUAUUAUAUAAACAACUUAUUGGGAGUUUGAUGUACUUAACAUCAACUAGACCAGACAGUGAUUAUGCAGGAGAUUUAGAGGGUAAAAGAAGUACAUCAUGUCAUGUAUUUAUGAUAAGUUCAGGGGCUGUAUCUUGGUCAUCAAAAAAGCAACAAGUUGUUACUUUAUCUACAAUUGAAGCAGAGUUUAUAGCCGUAGCUUCUUGUGCGUGUCAAGUUAUUUGAUUGAAAAGAAUACUUGAGUUUUUGCAUUUUUUCCAGCACGGAUCUAUACAGAUUUUUAUUGUGAUAAUAGUUCAAUCAUUAAACUCUCCAAGAAUCCAGUUUCACAUGGGAGGAGCAAGCACACUUCGCGAUCUUACAAAAGGAGUUAUUAAAUUGGUUUAUUGUCGGAGUGAAGACCAAGUUGCAGAUAUUCUAACCAAGCCUCUCAAACUGGUUGCAUUUUUGAAGCUGCGUCAUUUACUUGGAGUUCGUUCGAUUUCUAGUAAAAACCGAUUAUAUAACAUUCAGUUUAAGGGGGUGUGUUAAUGUUUUAUUUUUUUUAGUAAUUAGUAGAAUAAAUCCUUGAAGUCCUAUUCCAUAGGAAAUUGGGUACAUGGUUUACCAUUUCUUUAGGAGAAUCCAUGAGCUUAGGAGUUGUUAGUCAUG
Molecule: long non-coding RNA, 2524 nt
Filed under: Olea europaea subsp. europaea
Lineage: Eukaryota; Viridiplantae; Streptophyta; Magnoliopsida; Lamiales; Oleaceae
Source: RNAcentral